CCUACGGGGCGCAGCAGUAAGGGAUAUUGGUCAAUGGGGGAAACCCUGAACCAGCAACGCCGCGUGAGGGAAGACGGUUUUCGGAUUGUAAACCUCUGUCCUCUGUGAAGAUGAUGACGGUAGCAGAGGAGGAAGCUCCGGCUAACUACGUGCCAGCAGCCGCGGUAAUACGUAGGGGGCAAGCGUUAUCCGGAUUUACUGGGUGUAAGGGAGCGUAGACGGCAGGGCAAGUCUGGAGUGAAAGCCCGGGGCCCAACCCCGGGACUGCUUUGGAAACUGCCAUGCUAGAGUGCUGGAGAGGUAAG
RNAcentral lists this ribosomal RNA (305 nucleotides) under uncultured bacterium. Its description in RNAcentral is "bacterial SSU rRNA". It matches the Rfam family "Bacterial small subunit ribosomal RNA", at positions 338 to 661 of the family's 1533-position model. The record is from RNAcentral.